Molecule: ribosomal RNA, 490 nt
Filed under: uncultured bacterium
Lineage: Bacteria
Description: partial 16S ribosomal RNA
Rfam family: Bacterial small subunit ribosomal RNA
Source: RNAcentral
GAUGAACGCUAGCGAUAGGCUUAACACAUGCAAGUCGAGGGGCAGCAUGGUCUUAGCUUGCUAAGACUGAUGGCGACCGGCGCACGGGUGCGUAACGCGUAUGCAACUUGCCUCACAGAGGGGGAUAACCCGUCGAAAGACGGACUAAUACCGCGUACACUUGGGAUAGGGCAUCCUGACCCAAGGAAAUGAAAUUCGCUGUGAGAUAGGCAUGCGUCCCAUUAGCUAGUUGGUGAGGUAACGGCUCACCAAGGCGACGAUGGGUAGGGGAACUGAGAGGUUGAACCCCCACACUGGUACUGAGACACGGACCAGACUCCUACGGGAGGCAGCAGUGAGGAAUAUUGGUCAAUGGGCGAGAGCCUGAACCAGCCAAGUCGCGUGAAGGAUGACUGUCUUAUGGAUUGUAAACUUCCUUUAUACGGGAAUAACAAGAGUCACGUGUGGCUCCCUGCAUGUACCGUAUGAAUAAGCAUCGGCUAACUCCGUG